RNAcentral lists this ribosomal RNA (503 nucleotides) under uncultured bacterium. RNAcentral's name for it is "partial 16S ribosomal RNA". It matches the Rfam family "Bacterial small subunit ribosomal RNA", at positions 30 to 523 of the family's 1533-position model. The record is from RNAcentral.
AUUGAACGCUGGCGGCAGGCUUAACACAUGCAAGUCGAGCGGGGUGAUGGUGCUUGCACUAUCACUUAGCGGCGGACGGGUGAGUAAUGCUUAGGAAUCUGCCUAUUAGUGGGGGACAACAUCUCGAAAGGGAUGCUAAUACCGCAUACGUCCUACGGGAGAAAGCAGGGGAUCACUUGUGACCUUGCGCUAAUAGAUGAGCCUAAGUCGGAUUAGCCAGUUGGUGGGGUGAAGGCCUACCAAGGCGACGAUCUGUAGCGGGUCUGAGAGGAUGAUCCGCCACACUGGGACUGAGACACGGCCCAGACUCCUACGGGAGGCAGCAGUGGGGAAUAUUGGACAAUGGGGGGAACCCUGAUCCAGCCAUGCCGCGUGUGUGAAGAAGGCCUUAUGGUUGUAAAGCACUUUAAGCGAGGAGGAGGCUCUUUUGGUUAAUACCCAAGAUGAGUGGACGUUACUCGCAGAAUAAGCACCGGCUAACUCUGUGCCAGCCGCCGCAGUAA